This 253-nucleotide ribosomal RNA is filed under the name uncultured bacterium. RNAcentral describes it as "partial 16S ribosomal RNA". It matches the Rfam family "Bacterial small subunit ribosomal RNA", at positions 524 to 776 of the family's 1533-position model. The record is from RNAcentral.
UACAGAGGGUGCGAGCGUUAAUCGGAAUUACUGGGCGUAAAGCGUGCGCAGACGGUCAUGUAAGUCGGGUGUGAAAGCCCCGGGCUCAACCUGGGAAUUGCAUUCGAGACUGCAUGGCUAGGGUGCGGAAGAGGGAAGCGGAAUUUCCGGUGUAGCGGUGAAAUGCGUAGAGAUCGGGAGGAACACCAGAGGCGAAGGCGGCUCGCUGGACAGGCACUGACACUCAAAUGCGAAAGCGUGGGGAGCAAACAGG